RNAcentral lists this long non-coding RNA (1848 nucleotides) under Salmo salar (Atlantic salmon). Its description in RNAcentral is "lncRNA (ENSSSAG00000084165.1)". Lineage: Eukaryota; Metazoa; Chordata; Actinopteri; Salmoniformes; Salmonidae. The record is from RNAcentral.
GUCACAUGGUCCUAGAGUGUUCACAUGGUUCUAGAGUGUUCAAGUGGUUCUAGAGUGUUCACGUGGUUCUAGAGCGGUCAGGUGGUUCUAGAGUGUGCACAUGGUUCUAGAGUGUUCAGGUGGUUCUAGGGUGUUCAGGUGGUUCUAGGGUGUUCAGGUGGUUCUAGAGUGUUCAGGUGGUUCUAGAGUGUGCACAUGGUUCUAGAGUGUUCAGGUGGUUCUAGAGUGUUCACAUGGUUGUAGAUUCUAGAAUGGUCAUGUAGGCUCUACUGUAGUGUUUCAGACACUUUAUACAUACAGGCCUGGUUAACAUACAGAUAAUCAACCCUCAUCAGAUAACACAUACAACUAAUAACAAUCAAUAGCACAUUGACAGACAGUGUUGUGGUCAUGUCUAGUAUCUAUCCAAUCUAUCUAGACACCAUUUGGCUUUGAUUUAUUAGUUUGAACCAUCGCAAGCCUUUCUGUUGCUUUUUCAGUCUACCUCAGUGUGCUCGAGCCCUGAGCGCUUGUGUCCACCACCCACCCACCCAUCCACCCACUCACCCACCCACCCAGCCACCCACCCAGCCACCCACCCAGCCACCCAGCCACCCAGCCACCCACCCAGCCACCCACUCACCCAGCCACCCAGCCACCCACCCAGCCAUCCACCCACCCAUGUCUCCCUGCCUGCCUGCCUGCCUGCCUGCCUGCCUGCCUGCCUGCCUGCCUGCCUGUCUGUCUGUCUGUCUGUCUGUCUGUCUGUCUGGCUGGCUGGCUGGCUGGCUGGCUGCCCGUCUGCCUGUCUGUUUGUCUGCCUGUGUCUGUUUGUCUGUCUGUCUGCACAGAGCUACUCAGCAUUCAUCUCAACAUUAUUAUCUGCAAAGUGCAUUAGUCACUUUGCAUGCAAGCAAAAUGGCUGCCCUCCGCUUCUGUUUUGGAGGGCGAGAGAGAGAGAGAGAGAGAGCAUAGGAGAGAUGGAAAGAGGUAGAGAGGGAGUGAGGGAGUGAAGCACGACAGAGUGCCAGCCGGCCGGGAAGUAGGAAGGAAAAGGGAGAGGAAAUUAAUGUUAUGUUGUAACAUUUCAUAUUUCAGCUGGCCGUAGAGGCUUUCAGCUGGCUGUAGAGGCUUUCAGCUGGCCGUAGAGGCUUUCAGCUGGCUGUACAGGCUUUCAGCUGGCUGUAGAUUUCAGCUGGCCGUAGUGGCUUUCAGCUGGCUGUAGAGGCUUUCAGCUGGCCGUAGAGGCUUUCAGCUGGCCGUAGAGGCUUUCAGCUGGCCGUAGAGGCUUUCAGCUGGCCGUAGUGGCUUUCGGCUGGCUGUAGAGGCUUUCGGCUGGCUUUCGGCUGGCCGUAGAGGCUUUCAGCUGGCCGUAGAGGCUUUCAGCUGGCCGUAGAGGCUUUCAGCUGGCCGUAGAGGCUUUCAGCUGGCCGUAGAGGCUUUCAGCUGGCCGUAGAGGCUUUCGGCUGGCUUUCAGCUGGCCGUAGAGGCUUUCAGCUGGCCGUAGAGGCUUUCAGCUGGCCGUAGAGGCUUUCAGCUGGCCGUAGAGGCUUUCAGCUGGCCAUAGAGGCUUUCAGCUGGCCGUAGAGGCUUUCAGCUGGCUGUAGAGGCUUUCAGCUGCUGUUAGAGGCUUUCCUGCUAAGAUGUGUGUGUGACACCUGCUCUUGAUAAUAUGGAUGAUGCAAGAGAAACAAAACCCACACAUGCCAACUUGCCUUUGGCUUGACAGACUCAAAAGAGGCACUUGAAGACUGUAUGUUUUGAUUGGCUGGUUUUCAGACCUUUAAUGAUACAAAAAAAAUUGAUUGUGCACUUAAUUGAAAGUAUUCUUUUGAACAGGUUUCCAUGUUGGGAAAGUUCUACAUCAGU